Molecule: ribosomal RNA, 459 nt
Filed under: uncultured bacterium
Lineage: Bacteria
Description: partial 16S ribosomal RNA
Rfam family: Bacterial small subunit ribosomal RNA
Source: RNAcentral
CCUACGGGGGGCUGCAGUGAGGAAUAUUGGUCAAUGGGCGGAAGCCUGAACCAGCCAAGUAGCGUGCAGGAUGACGGCCCUACGGGUUGUAAACUGCUUUUAUACGGGAAUAACGCGCCUUACGUGUAGGGCUUUGCAUGUACCGUAUGAAUAAGGACCGGCUAAUUCCGUGCCAGCAGCCGCGGUAAUACGGAAGGUCCGGGCGUUAUCCGGAUUUAUUGGGUUUAAAGGGAGCGUAGGCCACAUGUCAAGCGUGCUGUGAAAUGUCCGGGCUCAACCUCGCUCCGCCGUUGAAACUGGCGUUCGUGAGUGGGCGAGAAGUAUGCGGAAUGCGUGGUGUAGCGGUGAAAUGCAUAGAUAUCACGCAGAACUCCGAUUGCGAAGGCAGCAUACCGGCGCCCAACUGACGCUGAAGCACGAAAGCGUGGGUAUCGAACAGGAUUAGAUACCCCAGUAGUC